Acanthosepion pharaonis is the source of this 113-nucleotide non-coding RNA. Lineage: Eukaryota; Metazoa; Mollusca; Cephalopoda; Sepiida; Sepiidae. The record is from the annotation of a GenBank genome assembly.
UGCUGUUAAAGCGCGCUGAAAGCACCGGUUCUCGUACGAUCACCGAAGUUAAGCAACGUCAAUCUGGUCAGAACCUUGAUUGGUGACCGUUUGAGAAUACCAAGUGUUGUAAG